Molecule: long non-coding RNA, 1073 nt
Filed under: Sorghum bicolor (sorghum)
Lineage: Eukaryota; Viridiplantae; Streptophyta; Magnoliopsida; Poales; Poaceae
Description: long non-coding RNA (SBIC_LNC018321)
Source: RNAcentral
AGAUUUGUUGCCUCGCUCAUAUGGAACUCCCUCUACCUCGUAGAGUGAUUCGCUGUCGGAGUCUGACUCGCUUUCAAGAGCAUGAUUCGCUGAGGUGGUUGCCUCGAGGCUGGCUGUGACCAGGACAACGCGACAGGUGAGCAAUCCUUGCCAUGAGCCUAAUUGGAUGUUUUUUAGAAUUCUGCAUAAUUCGGAUGUGACCAUACUCUAAAUCGAUUCAACUAGCUGUUAACAUACAUUCAAAUAGGCCUUUUAGCAGGCAAGAAUUUCCCUAGAAUUUUGGACAGAUGAAAACACUGAGUCCUUGUUUAGUUGGUGAAAAAAUUUGGGUUUGACAACUAUAGCACUUUUGUUUGUAUUUGACAAUUAUUAUCUAAUCAUGAACUAACUAGGCUCAAAAGAUUCGUCUCGCAAAUUACAGGCAAACUAUGCAAUUAGUUAUUUUUUAUCUAUAUUUAAUGCUCCAUGCAUGCGUUCAAAGAUUCGAUGUGACGGGAAAUCAUGAAAAAUUUUGGCAAUUUUUUGGGAACUAAACAAGGCUCCCACAGGAUUCAUGUGCAAACUGUAAUAAAUGGUUGAUGGUUGUGGUUCACAUAUCCAAUCAACAGUUAUUCACAAUUAGUCUACCAUUUGUACAGAGAUCACAUCAUCUGAUGAUGGUAUAGUUGAAUUCCAGUUUGUAUAGAUUGCAGGAGCAGGGCUGUAUGUUCCUUACCGGAGAUGGACGCUGUCCGCGACAUGACUGGGUUCGGCGUGCGGACGCUCCCAUACCACCAACUGCUGUCAUCCAUGGUGUUCUGCUCGUGCACAAACAUAUCUUUCGUUAACGAUGAAACCACAGGCAAGCGCAGCGAACUCUACCUAUCUUCUUUGUAAGCAGCAGAGAUGCAUUUCCAGUUGCAACAGCUGCUGCAACCGCAAUCAAUCACAUUGCUCGUGGCUGGCAGUGCUCACCGAUUCGGCGAAACCGACGCCGGGCGAGAACACCACGGCGCUCCCUCCGGGCUCGCCUGGUCCGCCGCACCCGUGAUUGCUACGCCCGGCGGCGGCGGCGCGGGCGUCGUCGUCGCCGC